UGAGAUUUCCUUUUUCCGUGGCUAUGUGGUCUGGAAACUGAAGAAGAUGAACUCUUCUUUGCUUCGAAAGUGGCUUGUCAUUCCCAAAUCCUUCCCUAGACCCUGUCAUUUUCAUCCUAGCCCAAAUCCCAAUAUUCUUUUUAUUGGGGAUAUUCCUUUUCUAUUAAAGGAAUAACUCAAAUUGACCUAGGUUGUGAAGCAACCUUUAUUUCCAUCACUCCUAAAAUUCCCAAAUAAUUCUCAUAAAUUGUUUGGGUCAUAUCUUUCUCAAAUACAGCAAAAUAUUUCAUUUGUCAUGUUUAUCAUCAUGCUCAAAUAAUUCAUUUCCUAUUCUGCCCUAAAUGGGACAUUGUGAAGCAAGUGCUAUUUGACUUUUCCCAAUUAACCUCAAACUCCUUGGACACCUUUUCCUGUCCAUAUCGUUGCCACAUGCCAAAGUGAAACCUCAUUUGCCUAGUAAAUAUUCCUGAGCAAUUUUUCAAAGUUCAUGUCUGAGGGAACUGGUUGUGAAGGAAGUACAAGCUAGGCAUAUCCAAAUGAGUUUCCAUUUUUCAUGAUCCCUAAUAUCAUCAUAUCAUAGCUCUCCACCAAAGUAGAGCUCAUGUCAUGCCUCCAUGUGAGCUCAUCUUCAAUUCUUUGAUUCUGUUCAAAAUUUCAGUUUGUGAAGCAAGUAUAUGUUAUCUUGCUCCAUUAUGGCUGCCAAUUUUUCUAGGCCUUAUGUUAUCCAUAUAACGUACCUCCACCCAUUUUGGGCAUGUUUCAUCAAGCCAUUAUUCCUCUAGAAUGUUUGCAAGUUUCUGGUCAGUGGAAAUGUUUGUGAAGGAAGUACCAUUUUGGUUUAUCCAAUUGGUAUGAAACCUUUUGAUCAUAUUCAUAAGACCAAAUAACUCUUCCUUGCUCAAUUUCAGCUCAAGUGGCUUCUCCAUUUGAGAGCAUCAUCAUGAUCUUCAUUCUCGACCAGAUUACUUAGUCAUAAAGCAAUUAUAUUAAUUAGUGGUCCAAUUCUUCUAAAAAUUACCAGGAUGUAACUCCUUCUUACCCUAAACAUACCAGACAUCUCUUUUGACCUCAAUCAAGUCUCUGUGGAUCAGCAGUGCUCGAUCAAGUUUACUGCAGUAAACUUCAGAGCUUGAUUACUUUUUAACCAUGUCACUUUUAACCCAUCUACCACCUCAGAUGCAACCUCCCUUGGAUGAACUACUUACUAGACAACAUUGCCAAGUACCUCUCCCCCACUACAUGCCAGUGCACAUGGUGACCACGACACUGGCAUGCCUGUGCACGCGCUCUGUGUGCGGUGCGCGCGUCCAGUGGCUGUUUGUGCUGGACCCCUUCUCCCUUUCGGCGUCUUCGAGCUCGUGAGCAUGUCCCACAGCUGCACCGCGUCGUCGCUGUCCUCCUGGAGCCCUCUCCCCCUCCGUCAGCCCCUCCGUCAGCGCUCGUCGCCGCGCGCCCACGGGCGAGCUGUAACUGACCGAGGCUUUAAUGGCGUUCGGCUCUUCUCCUCUUGUCCACGAGCUCACCCUAGUCUCCGUGAGCCCUGACCCUCGUCCGUUCCCUCUGUCGUCGCCUUCCAGAGCCACUUCCCCGAGCUCGAGGAGAUCCCAUUGCCCUCCCAUGGCCGAAGCCUCGCCUCGGGUCUCCGCCUAAAUUCGCGGCAUGCCGAGCCCCUCCCCUCCUCGUUCCACCACCAGGAGACCCACCGGAGUCCACCUCACCUCCCCACUCCCUCAUUUUUUCGCCGGAGGCCCUGUGGCCGCCCCUCCAUUGAAUGGCCGCCGCCGGCCGCGCUCUCUGUUGCCUCCAGCCGCGGCAGCCCCGCUCCUCCCCGGCGCCGUUUGCCCUCUGAACGGACGCGCCGUCCUUCCCCGACCUCGCCGGCAUGUUCCACUUGGCCGGAGGUGGCCGGAAUCGCCAGCGCCCGUCGCCGGCAGCGCCUCUGCUCCGCCUCUGCCUCCUCCCGUUGCCUUCUCUCCACUCCUCCCCGACGCCUCUUUCCCCUCUGGACGGGUGCGCCGUCGCAUCCCGCGGCCGCCGGUUCCCUCACCUCGGUCGGAGACGGUCGGAGUUGGCCGGGCCGGCGCCGGCCUCUUCCCUUCCCUCGCUCCUCUGUCACUGAUCGGGGAGGCAGCGAGGAGGAAGAAGACAGGCGCGAGGAGAGGGAGACGGAUAAGGCGGGCCCCUUCUGUCAGCUGCUCAAGCCGGGCCCCGCCACCGCCACGUCACUUAAGUGGAAGCGUGAACACAGUCGUACGUUUUCCUUAGGUGAAAGCGUAUUAGAGUACUGCUUCAGGUGAUUGUACGUUUUCUUUCACUGAAAACGUAUUCCAGUCCUUCUUAAGCACUGAACGCGUUUUCCUAUUCUGAAAACUUAUUGUCUGUAAUACGUUUUCUGUUUUUCAGCUCAGGGGCCUGUUUGUUAGAAAUCUUUACAGAUUAGUCCCUAAACUUCAACAUCUCAUAUCUUUUUAAUCACAACUCCAAAUGAGGCGAAUCCGAAGCCCACUUCUUCGUUUCGUUGAGCCCGUUCUGUUGGUUUCAUUUUCACUAUGGUUUGACACUGUGAAAAUGACCUUUUUGCCCUUGCACGUAAACAGCCCCUCCGAGAGAACUGUUUCCGGCAAGUCUUUCCGCGGCUUCACCGCACUUCUCCCCGGUGCCUUCUUCAUCCCCAGGCAAGCCACAAUACCCAUUUGCAUGAUAGUCAUGCAGUUGCCAUGGUUUUCAACUUGAAUAUUUAUUAAAUGAUUGCUUGUUUAAAACAUGGUUAUCGUUGUUUCGGUAAUGCUUCUGGUUUAGUGCUUACUUGUUUGCUAUGUUGUUAUGCACCUGGUUAUCAUGCCCUGCUAGUUGCUAGUACUGCUUUCAUAUUGACAUGCUGGAUAGUAGUACAUGUUGGGUUGGUCAUGUUCUUCGGUGCAUGAUCAACGUCGGUUAUCGAGUACCAUUAAUAUGCGUUGUUCCUUUGUUGUUAGUUGGUUAAGUCUUACUCGGUGAUGUUAUUGAUGAUUUCUUGCAUGUUAUUUAUAUUUGAUGACAAUGGUCAUGUUAUGCUAUGAGUAGUGUUGUACUUGUAAAAUUUAUGCUCGUCAUUAUGCCAUGUUCAGUUGGAGAUUAUUCAUAGUUGAUAUGGUGGAUAGUUAUGUUGCAUCCCGUACUUAUGUUGAUAUCAUGUUCAUGCAUUGUAAUUGCAUCAUGUUAUUUUAUCAUGGCUCAGCAUUUUGCAUUCAAGUUUAACCAGAUUUAAUUAAACUUGAACAACUGUUGGCUGAGUCAUGGUGCCGCCAGAUCGAAACUGACCAGUGCAACCACGCUUACCUUAUGGGAAGGUCCUAACUGGGUCUAUUAUCGUGCAUCUUGCCGGUGCCUCCCACGAGGGAAGGUUAUGGGUGUGCUUACCCUGAUCAGGUAGGCAGACAUAACCUUGUGUGCUCGUUGUUUAUAGUUUUAUGGAUCCAGUCCUCGAGUGGGAGUGUUUUGACCACGACGGUGGCCGGGGUGUCUUUGCUAGACACGGGGCCACCCAGGACUAGCCCGUUGGGGAUUUGGUCGGAGUGGCCGGGAGAAUGUCACGGCAGUAGAUCGGUUUUGUCGGAACGCCGUUGGUCCACCCGAAUGGGAGUGCGAGGCCAUGGGUUCCGUAGUGUGGGUACAGUGUACUAACCUCUGCAGAGUGUAUAUUAAAUCUAUCGAUAGCCGCGCCCGCGGAUAAGGGCCCAGUCCGUGUCGGUCCCACCGUGAGUCAACAGUAUUAAUAAUAACUUGAUUAAUAGACAACCCCGGUUUGAUGAUGAGAUAAGUUGGUUGUGAUCGCCGAAAAGAUCACUGUUUGAGACCAAGUGUUGGUCGUGGUUGUGAUCGCCGGAAGGAUCACGGUGGUAUCGAGGAUACCGAGUUAUUGUAUAUUCGCGAUGUUGUGCGAGAAUCAUGGGUAAAGAUCAAGCUCCUUGUGGUCAUUUAAUGAUUACUACGGUAUUGUUUAUACCAAGCUUGAUUUGAUCCUGAGAUAAUCGUGUGAUGUCCGAGGUUGGUAAGUGAGGCAUGUGAUGGUUACGUAGUAACCCGAGCAAAAUAAAUAAUGCAUAUAGUGUCAUCAUGUUGCAUGCUAGUAUCGUCAGACUCAUAUGCUCAUGCUAUGCUCAUGUUGUUCUAGCUGUAUCGUGUUCAUGUUGCCUUUGGAUUUUUAGUGGCUAUUAUGAUUAUUUUCAUGAUGGUACCUGGUAUUAUUUUGGGAGUAUUACUUUGGGUGUCAUGUUGUUCAGGUCAUGUUGUUAUGAGGAUCUCAUGUUAAUUCUUGCUUAACCUGUAAUUGCCAUGCUGUUGUUUGUCUUGAAUGCUUCUGGUUAAUUGUGAGCUUGCAAGUACAUUCAAUGUACUGACCUGGCGUGUCAUGCCAGCUUGCAGGUCGUGCCUGGAUUGCAUGCUUGUUCGCCAUGGAUUCUUUGUUUGCGAGCUAGGAUAAGCGUUCCAGCCAGAGUCCCUGCGGAUUGGAGUUCACCACCGUCGUCGUUGUUCCGCUGCUAGAGUUAUUCCACUGCUUCGAGUUGUUCUGCUGCUUGCAUAGAGCAACUGAGGAUGGCGUAGUGUCGCCGUGCCGAUGUUAUUCAUUGUAACAUCGGAGACCUUGUAUUCAUAUUUGUGAUAUAAUAGAAAGCUGGUUCGUUCUAUGCUAGGCAGUGAUGUAUUCCAGAAGACUUCUCCUUGAUCUCUGGGCUGGAAUACGGGGCGUUCCGGUUUUCUCUGAGCUGGGGUGCCACAGCGCUUGGUAUCAGAGCAGGUCUGGCUGUAGGAUGCCUCGGCCCGCGCGAACGUUAGAAAGCGGUAGUAUAGACCCCAGUUGGUUUGUUGCACUUGAUUGUUGCAUUUGUUUGUCGCACAGCAUGCAUAUAGAUUAUUAUUUUGUCACUAACGGUUAAUCUUGUGAGUGUAGGUGGCAUCGGUUUCGAUCCACUACCUGCACCCUCUUUCAUAGCAUGCCUGCUCUUCGGUGUGAUGCAACCACAUCAUCAUCCAGGCUCUCCAUCUCGUCCCCUUGGCAACCCUUGCUGAUCUUUGUUAUCAAAAAAGGGCAAUGCUAUUAAACCCAGUCUUCCACUAUUAUCUUGCCCUGUCAUAUCAUUCUUUGGACAGGUAUGAUUCCCUUCGUACGCUUGAUGAUGAGGAAGUCGUGACUUUUGUGUCUCACUACUUGAUCGUCAAGUUCGUUCUCACCUGUGUAUCCAUCCAGAUCCAGCCACUGUUCAGCCAGUGCUUGGUGUAGCUUCGGCUACGCCAACUCCUUCCACACAUGGAUAUAAUUUUCGUGCACACCGCCACAACAUAUUAGACCGUAAUACCAGAGUUUCUGCGCGAUUUGUGUGCUUAGGUGUGCAUGCAUAUUAUGGUGUGAGUAGCAGUAAUAUGUGAUGAUUGCUUGAUUAAUUAAAUUAGUAGUAUGCUUGUGUGCUUUUGUUUUAGUCGUUUCUUUUGUUUCUUUCUUUGGGCCUUCGGUGUUACAAAAUUUUCCCCUAUUAAAGUUGCUCGUCAGCCGACACCGGACCCGAAGAGUCAGCAAGAAAUGCAUAUAUUUGGAAACUCAGCUAAACAGAAUGGAAUUGUCAGCAGACUGCAGUGAAAUUGGAAAUAGCUCGUCUGAAUACAAAAGAAAUCCUGGAUGGAAUGUCAGUAUAAAGUUUGCAUUAACAUGCACUCCUCAUAGCACAAAUGAUCAAAUCAGCAAGAAGAUAAAUUGUGUGCAAGGUUGACAAAAUAUUAUCAAAGGUAUGGCUUAGAUACAAGUUUAAUUUUUCGUUGAGGAUGAUUUUGGAACCCGAUGUACCUGGAAGCAAGCAAAAAUAUGGCAUGUACUCAGAAAGGAGGAUAGUCCUGCAAAACCCUGUUUCAUACAAGAAAUCAAUAACAAAAAUAUUAAGAUGGUUAUAUAUGUGGAAAUCGGUCCGCAUAUCACAAUAAGAAGCUUCUGGUGUAAACAACCCAAUCUUCCCUCGCAAGAUACCCGAAAAGCUUCCAAGGCAAGAUUCAUCUAUCUUCUUCAGUACGAUACAUGGAUGAUUUCCCGUACAAGGUACUCUGCCUUCUUCAGUAAGCAACCGCAAAAGAUUCCAGCAUAAGGUACUGAGUUUUUCCCGAGCAACAUCUUUAAGGGGGUAAGCUUCUGAAGCACGAUACCCAGUCUUCUUCAGCAAGCUGUCCGAUGAAAGUUUCAAGCACAAGCCAGCCAAUCUUCCUUAGUAAGACAUUGGUACAAGGUAGUACGCUGUGAAUUGACAGCAUAUGGCAGCGAAUCCCAAGAAUCAGAUCCGCAACAUUUUGGUCAGAAGCAAGAAUCAGUCAGAACCUGAGGGAAGUUGAAACUGCCAUUUAAUGGGGUACCCUGUCAGAAAAAUGAGGAUAAGCUGCGAUUGCCGAAUUUUUUUUUGCACCGACAGUACCUAGGGUGAUACGAAAAAAGGCAAUAUAACCCAGCUCUUUCAGUCAAGGAUCCAGACCAAGAAAACAAUAAUGAUGGAGCAAGACCAAUGAUGUGGGUAUGAAAAUUGUUGCAAGACCCGUGUGGUGUAGAACCACCGUCAGUCAAGUCUGCAGAUAUUAUCCUACAGGUCAAACUCUUAUGCUAGCCACGACAGGCGACAAUCAAAUAUUUGGUACGGAUCCGAUACUCAAGACAGUGGAACCAGUUAAGAUGAAUCAGAAACUUCCGAGAUAAGCCAGAAUCUGUCAGGAAAGCAGUUAUGACCCAACUCACUGAUUGGAACCCGAAGCACCUGCAUUUAGUGGAGAAACCCAAUGCAAGGAGUUAGAGCUUGGGGGUCCACUAGAAAAAUCUGAUCACCACUUCAUGAAAGAUUGUCAGUGCCGGAUGACACACCCAGCGAAAAUCACUCUUGGAUUUGUGAGGCCGACAUAUAUUUCAGUCGUGAGGAUCAAUCACAGUCAGUUAAGUCAGCAGAUCUAAAAAGAAAUUGGAGGCUGUAUAAGCAUGAACAAGCAAGGUGAGAUCUGUCAGAAUAUAUUAAAGCAAACCACCCCAGGGCCAGCCAGAUAAAAAUUUAGUGGGAACAAAAAUAAGAAAAAGGAUACCCGAGUUGGAAACGGUUUCCUUAAGUCAGUAUCUUCAUACUUGUUCCCUGAACAACCAAAUCUCGAGGAAGAGAUUUCUUUAAGGGGGCAAGGUUUGUGACAGCCUGAUUUUUGGCCCUUUCUUUUUCUUUUGUUUUUCUGAGGUUUUUGCCUGAGAUUUCCUUUUUCCGUGGCUAUGUGGUCUGGAAACUGAAGAAGAUGAACUCUUCUUUGCUUCCAAAGUGGCUUGUCAUUCCCAAAUCCUUCCCUAGACCUGUCAUUUUCAUCCUAGCCCAAAUCCCAAUAUUCUUUUUAUUGGGGAUAUUCCUUUUCUAUUAAAGGAAUAACUCAAAUUGACCUAGGUUGUGAAGCAACCUUUAUUUCCAUCACUCCUAAAAUUCCCAAAUAAUUCUCAUAAAUUGUUUGGGUCAUAUCUUUCUCAAAUACA
RNAcentral lists this long non-coding RNA (7507 nucleotides) under Triticum aestivum (bread wheat). RNAcentral describes it as "long non-coding RNA (TAES_LNC024516)". The record is from RNAcentral. Lineage: Eukaryota; Viridiplantae; Streptophyta; Magnoliopsida; Poales; Poaceae.